RNAcentral lists this ribosomal RNA (64 nucleotides) under Ganoderma lucidum. RNAcentral's name for it is "partial 28S ribosomal RNA". The record is from RNAcentral. Lineage: Eukaryota; Fungi; Basidiomycota; Agaricomycetes; Polyporales; Polyporaceae.
UGACCUCAAAUCAGGUAGGACUACCCGCUGAACUUAAGCAUAUCAUAACCGCGGAGAGAGAAAA